This is a long non-coding RNA of Melospiza melodia melodia, 393 nucleotides long. RefSeq lists it as uncharacterized. The transcript has 2 exons. Lineage: Eukaryota; Metazoa; Chordata; Aves; Passeriformes; Passerellidae. The record is from RefSeq and is a predicted model, not a curated record.
GUUACACUUGGAGCUCUCUGGGACCAUGAUGUUCCUGAAGCAGAAUCAUCAAGCCAAGUGCACAAAGACAGGAAUACCUGGAUUUUCUUUCUGUCAGUGAACUCAAUCCCUAGACACUCUGUUAUCUGCAUGAAGGGAAACGGCAAAAGGUUGUUGGUUUAACACCCAGGAGUCAGAUCUGACGGUGAUGGGAGCUGCAGUUUUACAGAAGCCUUGGAAAGAAGAAACUACUUGAAGGAGAAAUGGAUUGGGAGAGCAGGCUGAAGGGAUUUCAUCAAAGGUCAAAAUCCACCAAGCUGGCACUCCCUGCCCCCUCCCUCAGCUACCCAGCUUCUGCUCCUUCUGUCUUCACAAAGAAACAAAUAAAUCUUGCAGGUGCUGCAGAAGCAGAGA